GUGGAGCAUGUGGCUUAAUUUGACUCAACGCGGGAAAUCUUACCGGGUCCGGACACACUGAGGAUUGACAGGCAAUAUUAAUACAUCAGCUCUUUUUUAUUAAAGUCUGUGUAUUAUGUUAAAUAUGCUAGUCCUUUCAUGAUUAUGUGAUAGGUGGUGCAUGGCCGUUCUUAGUUCGUGGAGUGAUCUGUCUGCUUAAUUGCGUUUCACUAAGGGCCUAUAAAUUUACGUGUGUUGCGGCACUUUGACCCCUCUCUGAGCGCGCGUCUUAGUUUGCUUUGCUCGCACAAUUAGGUCCUGAAAGCAACGAACGUGACCGCAACCUCUUGUUGCCUUUAUUCCAAACAUGUUUGCCAUUUUAAAUGGUAUUCAUGAAAAAAGGCUUUUUAAACUAGAGGGACCGCUGUUACUUUCUUAAACCAGAGGAAGGUUGCGGCAAUAACAGGUCUGUGAUGCCCUUAGAUGUUCCGGGCUGCACACGUGCUACAAUGAUUAUUGCAGUGAGCAUCUCAUUUUACACACCGCAUGCGCGAGUCCAUUUAUUCACCUCUCUGAGGCGCUUUAAAUGUGUACCUCUGCGCGCGGUAAAGCCUGCUUCGAGAGUAAGUGGGUAAUCAAUUAGAAGUAAUGAUUUCCUUUUUAGCACACAUAUAUACGGCGUCUAUGCCCGGGCUGCCUUGUUGUAGCUUUUGUGCGUAUAGAUGUUUUUUCCGUAUGUGCGAUUGUCAAUUCAUGGUGGGGACAGACCAUUGUUAAUUGUUGGUCUCGGUCUUAACUAGGAAUGCCUUGUACGGGUCUUUGGUUCAACAAACCACCCGGAAUACGUCCCUGCCCUUUGUACACACCGCCCGUCGCUCUUACCGAUGGACUUCUCUGUGAGUUUGAGGGACUGGGAACGCAGAUUUUAUCUGCACACCUAUGGAAACUUAAACGAACAGUGUGGUCUAAAG
RNAcentral lists this ribosomal RNA (950 nucleotides) under Chilostomella oolina. RNAcentral describes it as "SSU rRNA". It matches the Rfam family "Eukaryotic small subunit ribosomal RNA", at positions 1176 to 1778 of the family's 1831-position model. Lineage: Eukaryota; Foraminifera; Rotaliida; Chilostomellidae. The record is from RNAcentral.